GAGAGCCCUGAAUUGUAACUAGCGUC
RNAcentral lists this non-coding RNA (26 nucleotides) under Rattus norvegicus (Norway rat). Lineage: Eukaryota; Metazoa; Chordata; Mammalia; Rodentia; Muridae. The record is from RNAcentral.